UGCACAAAUGAUUGAAGACUCGUAUGAAUGUCCAGAUGAUCAUUAUGGAUGCUGCGAAGAACAUAUGCUGGAAUUCGAAAUGGAUCAUUAAAAGGUAUGGAAAAUAUAAAAUAAGUAAAAUAUAAUAUGUAUGAUGUGUCUAAAAUCAUGUAAAAUAAAUAAUGAUGUAAGCGAUGAUGUAGUCGCUGAUGUAAUGAUUAUGUAAGCAAUGAUGUAAGCGAUGAUGUAAUCGCUGAGGUAAGCGCUUAUGUCAGCGCCUUAAAUCCUCCUAUAAAUAAGUGUGCACCCCUUGUAAGAAAUCACAACUUGAAAUAUCAUAAAAUUUCAUAAUAGCUUUCUCUCUCUAAAAUGUCUCUCUAACUUCUCUCUAAAUUUUCCAGACUUCCUAACUUCUUCAUAAACCUUGUUUUUUUCUAUUCUAAACACAGUCGCGAUUCUGUUUCUUUUCUUAAGGUUAGCAUAAGUGGUCCGUCAAUACGACGGUCGAACACGGCAGUCAAUAGUACUCGUCGGGGUUCACAGUUCCUAAUAGUAGGUUGAGUAACACGGAUGGCAAUGAGGCCCGAACCGCUCCCUUUACCUGGAAUAUGAACCCUUGCUUGUCGAUACGACUCGUCGUCUAGACUUAGUCAACACGACCCUCCGCUCGUGCUAGCUUUAAGAUUAUGGCACAAAAAAAAAAACUAAAAGAGUAUUUGAUUUUUUUUUGGUUAUUAAUUAAAAAUGGGAUUAUGAAUCUUUGAAUAAAGAGUAGUUGAAGCUUCUAUAAUAUGCAAAAGCUUCUUUUCUUUGAGGAGAUGCUUUAACACAUAUUUGACACUUUUUAUAAUAUUGUGCAAUAAAUCAUUCGCUAGUUCUAAACUAGCUUUUACUAUGAUAUUCAAAAUAUGUGCAAAACAUCUAACAAGCAUAAACUCUUCAUCACAUAAUAAACCACUGCCACUAAUCAUCUGAAGUUGACCUUGAGAAUGGUCUGCAUACUAUUAUGAUUUUCUGCAUUAUCUAGAGUAGUUGAAAAUACCUUCUUCUUUAGUCCCCAUUCUUUCAAACACUCCAAAAAUUUUUUAGAAAUUUCUUCAGUGUGUAGAGACUUCAAUUCACAAAAAAGCUAGAAUCUGACUGUUUAAUUUCCAGCCAUCAUGAAUGAAGUGUGCAAUCAAAAAAAUAUAACUCAUGACUGUGGCAUGAGCUGACCAUAAAUUUGCAGUGAAACAGACACGACCACGAUGCUUUGCAAGUACCUCUUUCAGCUUGAUCUUUUCAAUCUCGUACUGCCUAUACACAUCCGCUCCAGCAGUCUGUCUAAAAAUAGGUUGGCAUACUUGUCUCUUGCUCUGACUUUUUCAUAUUUAGCAUACCGAAAUGGAAAAUCAUGAUAAAUUAUGAUCUCGCUAGUCAUCUCACGGUCUAUCUUAUGAUCAUAUGCAUGCAUAUCUUCCUUUCUAGGCUUCAUUGAACACUUAUCCAAAUUGGCGAAUCAAACUCUUUGUUCCAUGUGUUUUAGUAUUAAUCACUAACUUUGUACCACAAUGGAUGCAUUUGCCUCUUUCUUUGCCAUCUUUUUUUGUCCCAACUAAUACAAAAUGGUUCCAAACUACUAAAGUUAAUCGUCUUUUCCUUGGAGCUUGAGUGUCACUUUGCUCUGGUUCUUCAAUUUCUAUUUCUCCCUCAUUCAUCUCAAUGUUUUCAUCUUGAGCAUCUUCCUCAUUCAUAUCAAUAUAUUGACUCGGAGCAUUGAGCAUUUCUAGUGUAUAUGGAGACUGUAAAUCCAUUCUGCAAAAUAAUAAACAAAUAAAAAUGUUAAGACUUCAGCUCCUUAGUACUGGUUAAGCAAGAUACUAAGAUAGGCAAGCUCAUAUAUCAAAUAAAAGUACUGGUACAAACGCCUAAAGUUUCAUGACUUAAGAUAAAUUAUAUAACACAUAUACUAUAUAUCAAAACGAAUGGAUAAGCGGAAAAAUAAAACCAUCGUGUCAUAUCACUACAAAAAAAGUCCACAUUCAUAGCACUGGGAAAUAGCUCAUUUUUCCCAACUGCUAUUAAAGAUGAGUAUGUAAUUUUGGUUACUAUGUUAUAGCGUUUAAUAAAUGCUAAGAUAAAAUUCGUAAGGGGAAAUCUAAAAUCGUUUAUACCGCCCAAAACUUGGCCAAAAUUAAAACAAAAGUUUUAAAUUUCACUUGUGUCCGCAAAAAUUUAGCCAAAUAUUACACUUUAUACCUCCCACACUUAGAAAAAAAUCACAAACCCCACUUGUGACCUAAUAUUUUCUUCACCUCUCCACACCCGACCUCCAACACUCAUCUUGUUCCAGCCCAGAGAAGAGAGAAAGAGAGAGAGAGAGAUUGCUUAGAAGAUAUUGGCGGACUUCAAAUCGGUUAUGGUACCGGAAUUUAGGAACUCCGUUUAGAUCUAGAGCCAUAAAAUCCAUAUUCGAAUGGGUCAACAGUGUUGCGAGAUUCUGACGCAACACCAACGAAAGCAAGAUUGGGUGAUAAAGCGAGAAACCCAGAUUGGAAUGGGUCUGGUGAAGAUGAGACAAUUAAGAACGGAGAAAAGAUUGUAAAGAGGUGGGUUUUGUGAUUUUGGUCGUUACUUUUAAUUUUCGUUUGAUUUUGAAUUGAAUUAGAUGUUGGCUUUUGUUUUUUUAUUUGUAUUCCUCUUUAUCAGAUCUGGUUUGGUAGGAUAUUGUGGAUCUAAGAGGAGUUUCGAUCUACAUGGAGUCUUUACUCAUGUAGUUCUUAGGAUUCAAGCAAACCAUACAUUUUCUAUGGACUGUCGAAAUUUCUCCUCUUUGGUAUAUGUGUGCAGUCUUUAAGAAAUGUUUGCAAUUGUUCAUGUUUACUCUAUUAAGAUGUUGUUACUUUUCUCUUUUUCUCAUUGCUGCUUCGAAUUGUUCUUUACUCUAUUAAGAUUGGUAAGUGUGAUCUUGAAGAAUUUAAUUUGGUUACUUUGGCCUAGGUUGUUACGAUUUAGAUAACAAUUACUCUACAGAUUUGUAAUCGUAAUGGUAAUGUUUCAUACUUGAUCCUUGAUUGGAGUAUGUUUUUUUAUGGCUUUUGAUGAUUGAUGCUGCAGGUUUUGAUUGAUGCUGCAGGUUUUGAUUUUCUGUUGCAGGUUUUAGUUUCCAAUUUUCAGGUUUUGGUUUCUAAAUUUGCAAGUUUUGGUUGUCUAAGUCGCAAGUUUUUGGGAUUCUCUGGUUAGCUACAUACAUAUAUCUUUUUUUUUUAAAGAUGUAAAAGACUUGUGUUAGAGUAGGAGGGCUUGACGAGGAAGGUAAAGGGUGUCUUUACUUACGACGCUGUUGGAUCAAAUGAGAGAGUUGUAUAUGGUGCUCAGGUUCUGGUUCCACACUCAUCAUGCCUUUCCUUGACAACCAGCUCAAGUCUCCAAGUCCUCUUCUGCUACCUAAACAGUGCAGGGACCAAAUGUUAAUACCAGUCCUAGUAAUUGUACUCUCAUGUGCCUAGAUUCAUUGAGAAAGCAAGAGCUAAAGUCAAAGGGUUUUGAAGAGUCAUUAGCUUUAGCGAGAUGUUAACGUUGACUAUGGGAAAGAAUGACAAGACCAAAGGAAGCAUAUGGUCCAGAGGCUAAGGCAAGUUUCUUUUCAUAUUUUCUUAAAGGCUGGUGAAUAAGCUGCAGUAGAAGCAAUUUUGGUCAUUGGAUUGUCUUUGAAGUCUGAUGCUAAAAAGACCAUCAUGAAUCUCAGGUUCCCUUCAAACCAGGUGAUUCUCAUUCAACAUAUCUAAGAGUUUAUGCUUUCAAGAAGCAGAGACUUCUGCUUAUGUCUGAUACUCCAAGGAAGCAGGUGGACAGGCUAAAUCCUUCCUCUUAACUUACAAGUACGAAGAAGUUUUGGUACCCAUUAUUAAAGAUUUUGUUUCUCUUUUGUUCUUUAUCAUUAAACUUUAUGAUUAGCAUUCUUUAUCGUGUAGGAGCAGUACUUGAUGUUUUAGUUUAAGAUUUAGUUUGGAUUAUAGUUUGUAAGACUUGUUAUGUUUU
This is a long non-coding RNA of Arabidopsis lyrata subsp. lyrata, 3999 nucleotides long. RefSeq lists it as uncharacterized. The record is from RefSeq and is a predicted model, not a curated record. Lineage: Eukaryota; Viridiplantae; Streptophyta; Magnoliopsida; Brassicales; Brassicaceae. The transcript is spliced from 4 exons.